This 513-nucleotide ribosomal RNA is filed under the name Boana wavrini (Upper Orinoco treefrog). RNAcentral's name for it is "Hypsiboas wavrini (Upper Orinoco treefrog) partial 16S ribosomal RNA". It matches the Rfam family "Bacterial large subunit ribosomal RNA", at positions 1922 to 2596 of the family's 2925-position model. Lineage: Eukaryota; Metazoa; Chordata; Amphibia; Anura; Hylidae. The record is from RNAcentral.
AUUCAACGGCCGCGGUAUCCUAACCGUGCGAAGGUAGCGUAAUCACUUGUUCUUUAAAUGAGGACUAGUAUGAAUGGCACCACGAGGGUUCUACUGUCUCCUUUUUUUAAUCAGUGAAACUAAUCUCCCCGUGAAGAAGCGGGGAUCUUUAUAUAAGACGAGAAGACCCUAUGGAGCUUUAAACAACCAACAUUUGCUACACCACAACAUUUUCCCUAAAAGAAGUAUAGCAUUAUGAUUUUUAGUUUUCGAUUGGGGUGAUCACGGAGUAAAAUGUAACCUCCAUGCCGAAAGGGUUUUUACCCUGAGCAAAAAGCCACAGCUUUAAGCACUAAAAAAUUAACGCAGUUUGACCCAAUAUUUUGAUCAACGAACCAAGUUACCCUAGGGAUAACAGCGCAAUCCACUUCAAGAGCUCCUAUCGACAAGUGGGUUUACGACCUCGAUGUUGGAUCAGGGUAUCCAAGUGGUGCAGCCGCUACUAAUGGUUCGUUUGUUCAACGAUUAAAACCC